Molecule: ribosomal RNA, 606 nt
Filed under: uncultured bacterium
Lineage: Bacteria
Description: bacterial SSU rRNA
Rfam family: Bacterial small subunit ribosomal RNA
Source: RNAcentral
CCUGGAGCUUGCUCCAGGUGACAGUGGCAGACGGGUGAGUAACGCGUGGCAACCUACCUUUUUCUACGGAACAACAGUUAGAAAUGACUGCUAAUACCGUAUACGCCCUCCGGGGGAAAGAUUUAUCGGUGAAAGAUGGGGCCGCGUUAGAUUAGCUAGUUGGUGAGGUAAUGGCUCACCAAGGCGACGAUCUAUAGCUGGUCUGAGAGAAUGAUCAGCCACACUGGGACUGAGACACGGCCCAGACUCCUACGGGAGGCAGCAGGGGGGAAUAUUGCACAAUGGGGGGAACCCUGAUGCAGCCAUGCCGCGUGUGUGAAGAAGGCCUUCGGGUUGUAAAGCACUUUCAGUUGUGAGGAAAGGUUAGUAGUUAAUACCUGCUAGCUGUGACGUUAGCAACAGAAGAAGCACCGGCUAACUCCGUGCCAGCAGCCGCGGUAAUACGGAGGGUGCGAGCGUUAAUCGGAAUUACUGGGCGUAAAGCGCACGCAGGCGGUUUGUUAAGCUAGAUGUGAAAGCCCCGGGCUCAACCUGGGAAUAGCAUUUAGAACUGGCAGACUAGAGUCUUGGAGAGGGGAGUGGAAUUUCUGGUGUAGCGGUGAAAUG